RNAcentral lists this non-coding RNA (30 nucleotides) under Homo sapiens (human). Lineage: Eukaryota; Metazoa; Chordata; Mammalia; Primates; Hominidae. The record is from RNAcentral.
UAGUGACUGCAUACUGCACAAAACGUGUUU